GUUGUAAUUCUUUAUGUGAUCCCUGCCAAAUCAUUAUAACGUCAAUGACGUUAUAAUGAUUUGGCAGGGAUCACAUAAAGAAUUACAGCUAUUCCUU
Pelobates cultripes (western spadefoot toad) is the source of this 97-nucleotide non-coding RNA. Lineage: Eukaryota; Metazoa; Chordata; Amphibia; Anura; Pelobatidae. The record is from the annotation of a GenBank genome assembly.